AGCAGUAGCCGCGGGAAUACAAGGGGGGCAAGCGUUGUUCGGAAUUAUUGGGCGUAAAGGGCGCGUAGGCGGUUUGGCAAGUUUGGUGUGAAAUCUUCGGGCUCAACUCGAAGUCUGCACCGAAAACUGCCGGGCUUGAGUAUGGGAGAGGUAAGUGGAAUUUCCGGUGUAGCGGUGAAAUGCGUAGAUAUCGGAAGGAACACCUGUGGCGAAAGCGGCUCACUGGACCAUUACUGACGCUGAGGCGCGAAAGCUAGGGGAGCAAACAGGAUUAGAUACCCCUGUAGUCCCUGUCUCUUAUAA
Molecule: ribosomal RNA, 303 nt
Filed under: uncultured bacterium
Lineage: Bacteria
Description: partial 16S ribosomal RNA
Rfam family: Bacterial small subunit ribosomal RNA
Source: RNAcentral